GACGAACGCUGGCGGCGUGCUUAACACAUGCAAGUCGAACGGAAAGGCCCUGCUUUUGUGGGGUUCUCGAGUGGCGAACGGGUGAGUAACACGUGAGUAACCUGCCCUUGACUUUGGGAUAACUUCAGGAAACUGGGUCUAAUACCGGAUAGGAGCUCCUGCUGCAUGGUGGGGGUUGGAAAGUUUCGGCGGUUGGGGAUGGACUCGCGGCUUAUCAGCUUGUUGGUGGGGUAGUUGCUUACCAAGGCUUUGACGGGUAGCCGGCCUGAGAGGGUGACCGGCGACAAUGGGACUGAGAUACGGCCCAGAGUGCAACGGGAGGCAGCAGUGGGGAAUAUUGCACAAUGGGAGGAAGCAUGAUGAAGAAACGCGGCGUGGGGGAUGACGGCCUUCGGGUUGUAAACCGCUUUCGCCUGUGACGAAGCGUGAGUGACGGUAAUGGGUAAAGAAGCACCGGCUAACUACGUG
Molecule: ribosomal RNA, 468 nt
Filed under: uncultured bacterium
Lineage: Bacteria
Description: partial 16S ribosomal RNA
Rfam family: Bacterial small subunit ribosomal RNA
Source: RNAcentral